GGGAGAGUGGGAAAGGUAGUUGUGUCUGUCUGUCCAUCAGAGGAAGCUAACGAGAUGGGUGAGAUCGGAGAGAAGAGGUAUGCGCUGCUGAUGUGCGGUGAGGAUUCGGAGUACUUGUUGAAGAUGCACGGAGGUUGUUACGGGAUCUUCGGGAGAGUGUUGACGGAGGAGGGAGAGAGGUGGGACCUCUACAAGGUGGUGCAGGGACACUUUCCGGCCAACCACCACCUCUCUCUCUACGACGGGUUUGUCAUCACCGGAAGCUGCUACGAUGCCCAUUCCGACGACCCUUGGAUUCUUGAGCUUCUCCAACUCGUUAACAAAUUGGACUCUAUGCACAAGAAAAUCCUUGGCAUUUGCUUUGGUCACCAGGUUCCUACUUGUCACCAUCAAUUCAUC
This 399-nucleotide long non-coding RNA is filed under the name Vigna radiata. Its description in RNAcentral is "long non-coding RNA (VRAD_LNC010753)". The record is from RNAcentral. Lineage: Eukaryota; Viridiplantae; Streptophyta; Magnoliopsida; Fabales; Fabaceae.